This 477-nucleotide long non-coding RNA is filed under the name Homo sapiens (human). RNAcentral's name for it is "non-protein coding lnc-BUB1-5:3". Lineage: Eukaryota; Metazoa; Chordata; Mammalia; Primates; Hominidae. The record is from RNAcentral.
GAACUUUAUGUAAGACCUGAUGACGUCCAUGUGAACAUCCGGCUAGUGGAGUUGUAUCGCUCAACUAAAAGAUUGAAGGAUGCUGUGGCCCACUGCCAUGAGGCAGAGAGGAACAUAGCUUUGCGUUCAAGUUUAGAGUGGAAUUCGUGUGUUGUACAGACCCUUAAGUUUUGAUAGUGCUCUUCAGUCUGCGAAAUCUUCUUUGGGUGGAAAUGAUGAACUGUCAGCUACUUUCUUAGAAAUGAAAGGACAUUUCUAUAUGUAUGCUGGUUCUCUGCUCUUGAAGAUGGGUCAGCAUGGUAAUAAUGUUCAAUGGCGAGCUCUUUCUGAGCUGGCUGCAUUGUGCUAUCUCAUAGCAUUUCAGGUAAGUCUUCCACUUGUAGGAGCAAUUGACAUUUCACGGAGUCUUGAUGUGUUUUAAAUGAAGGUGUGCUCUGGUAUGUAAUGACAAUAUGUGAACAAACCUGUGGAAUUAAA